Molecule: RNA transcript, 3633 nt
Organism: Anopheles moucheti
Lineage: Eukaryota; Metazoa; Arthropoda; Insecta; Diptera; Culicidae
Gene: cpo
Gene name: protein couch potato
Exons: 8
Source: RefSeq, a predicted model, not a curated record
AGUGUUGUUGCUGUUUGUCGCGGAACAUGUGGAAAAGUUUUUUUCCGUUGUCCGAGUGUAUGUGUGCCAGGAAUCCGCGCCUGGAUGUGAAACGACGAUCGACACAUGGUGUUCGAUUCAGUGGCGCGUCAGUAAAUUCCGUCACCAUUUCGUCGACCGUGGUGAAACGCAGGCCAGCGCCGCAGAUUACGGUAGCGAGCGGCCCGCAGGUCCUAUCGCCGAAGCGACUCCGCACGACCGCGCUGCCCGGCGUCGCGGCGGCUGCCCUUCCGGCCCUCGGCAACUGCCUCGUCCCGGCGCAUCCAUCGGCCGCUGCCGCUGCCGCCGCCGCAGCCGCCCUGCUGCAGCAUCAAAUCCAUCAACACCAUCAUCAACAGCAGCAGCAGCAGCAACAGCAGCAUCUUCAGCAACUACACCAUCAGCAAUCGAUAAGCACGGACGUACAAACUCAGCAGGCACAGCAGCAGCAGCAGGUGCAGCAGGUGCAGCAAUCGAUCUCACCGCAACCGAACCCAGUAUCCGUAUCGGUUGCUAGUGCACUCGCCGGCCAAUCGCCGCUGGGUACGAAUCCCACCAGUAGCACCGGAACACCAGCAGUUGGGGUAGGGCAGCCGCCGAUGUUCAGCUCGCCGGUCGUUGCGCAGUCGAACGCCGUAGUCAGCAGUCCGUCUUUGAACGGUGCGCUGAACGUGAACGCCGUAAACGCAGCCAACAACAACCACACCGGACUCGGACAGACCGGCCAGUCGGCCACCGGCAACCUCAAGAUGGACAGCUCGAUGGGACAGAUGACGCCGAUGGCACCGCUGGCAUUGUCGCAAAGCAUGGAUUCCGUAAACACGGCCAGCAACGAAGAAGAGGUUCGCACACUCUUCGUCAGCGGGCUGCCGAUGGAUGCGAAACCGCGCGAACUCUAUCUACUGUUCAGAGCCUACGAAGGGUACGAAGGAUCGCUGCUGAAGGUUACCAGCAAAAAUGGAAAGACGGCAUCGCCUGUUGGCUUCGUCACGUUCAACACCCGUGCCGGUGCGGAAGCCGCCAAGCAGGAUCUACAGCAAGGUGUACGCUUCGAUCCCGAUAUGCCCCAAACAAUACGCUUGGAAUUCGCCAAGAGUAACACUAAAGUCAGCAAACCAAAACCACAACCUAAUACAGCGGCCACAGCUGCACAUCCUGCAUUGAUGCACCCACUUACUGCUGGACACUUAGGUACACCGUUUUUUCCUGGCGGCCCGGAACUAUGGCAUCAUCCGUUAGCGUUCUCGGCGGCGGCCGCUGAGCUGCCGAGUGCAGCCGCACUGCAGCAUGCAACGCUCGUCCAUCCGGCACUGCAUCCGCAGGUCCCGGUCCGGUCCUACCUCUGACUAAAUACGGACAAAGUCCUCGAACAGCAGCAGCCCAUGCACCAACAAAUUCAAAUGCCGCACCCGUCAGCAAUACAUCCAGCAUCGAUGCAUGUGUCCGCCGGCCUGCCAGCGAACCACUUUUUGCCCAGUCCGGCACUGGCCAGUCCGGUUGGCAGCACUGCUGGCGGCAAUCAGCCACCGAACCCGCCGCUAGCCGCCAAUGCUCCCUGCUCGACACUGUUCGUUGCCAAUCUGGGACAGUUUGUUUCCGAGCAUGAGCUGAAAGAAAUUUUCGCUAGGGGGGCGGGUUUGGAGCCAAGAAUGGAACAUCAUUUGGGGAAGAAGAGUGAACGAACCGAUCUCAGCUCGUACCUAAUGGCAACAACCUGACCGCAACAUCUGCAACCCGUAGCCACCACCAUCAUGAACCAUAGCAAUCUUAGCGGCAACCAUCAUUGCAUCAGCAGCACAGGCUCCACCAUCUUGAACGGCGGUAGCGGCGGCGGAACAACACUAAUCGGGGGCACGGCCAUGCACGGCCGUGGCGGACCACCGCCCGGUACGGUGGUACCACCGGCAACAACAAUGGCCGGCCUGGGUGGACAGAAUGCGGGACUGUUCACCUUUGCCGUGGCACCACAUCCACGGGCGUAAAUGACGGGCGCGAAUUAAUCAACAUCUAGCAGUGCAGCUGCUUUGCAAGAGGAUAAUCUAAUAGCAACAACCAAACCAAAAACGAAACAAAAAAAAACAACAUUAUGUCAUACCAAGGAUGCUUAAGAUGUAAAGGACCGGUUACGGUAGAAAUAAGUGGGGUAGCUGUCGAGCACGAUACAGAAUGGAUCGCUUUUCGGUACCGAUCCAACAUAGAUGUGAUCUCUGUGAUAAGCGAUCGAAAAGACGAAUCUAUGAGGCGCAAUUUUAGCAUUCAUACGCUAGGGUUUGAACAGUUUGGUGUUUCGUCGAGGAGGGAGACGGAACCACCCAGUUGUGGAGAAGGUUGCAGAUGAAGCGCUAGAUGAUAGGAAUGUAAGUAACCACAUUAACUCUCCUACCUAACAAAACAAACACUUGCUGCAGCUACUACUGUCCUUACAAGCAAACAAACAAAUUACUGAAAAGAAAUCGAAACGCUGUAUUUUGCAAAGUCCGCUCCGCUUCCGAAGUGUGAAGCGACCGGACAAGUAACAGUGGCGAAACAGCGAACGGAAGAGCGAAAAAACGCGCUAGCUAAAGCAUUACUAGUUGAUCACUUUUUACCAAAAUGUGCCCUAAACGGAGUGAUGAUCGGCUGCUGGGAGGAAGAUCGAAGGGCACGUGGCACGAAAUGCCAUUCAAACGUGAAGUGAAGCAGAUGAACAUUAACAAGGCAAACAACAAAUUGAAUUAGCGGGCCCACUUUACAGCCGAUCAUCACUCUACCUAGUUUCCAAUUUACGUUUAACAAACAAACGAACAAAAACGAAUGUUAUCUAUUAACGAAAUCGUUUUCUUUUUCCUCUCCCAUUUCCCGCACAUUCAAACGAAAGGGACAUUCAAUCAUUCUUUACAUCCCGUUUUUAACAUUAGCAUCAUUUUUGAAUCCAACAAUCUGAGAUAUACAUGCUAGAAGAAAAAAAACAGGCAUCUGUAAGCGGAAAAACAACGGGAGAUUGUGAAAGUCCUCACCAGCAGGUGCCAGGAUACCGAAGUCAAUGGCUAACCAAUGUGAUUAGGGUUUCAUCACUGCAAAAGCGCAACAACAACAGAAAACGUACGCAGCUUCUUUUGCAGUAAGCGAUGAUCGUUGCUGCUGCAGCGCAUAACAAAACAAAAAGGUUCGUCGCCUAUCGCCGGUUAAGUCUCCAACGACAAAACUGGAUUUCUGUAUGCGCGCUAGCAGCGGUAGCAAAAUGAAACGAUAAGAUAAAUGAGGGCAAAUUAAGGAAGAAAAAAAAACAAUUUCAAACAAAAUGUGAGCAAUAAACUACAUAAAACAUACACCGACACAUACACAUUAUAUCAGACAGAAACACGUAGAAAAGGAAGCGUAACAACAAAACUAACAAAAUAUGAGAGGGGAAAAAAGUACUUUGUAAAUGAAAAUAUCCAUGCAUAUCAAGAUUUUGAAUCGACAUUUAAGAAACGAGAUACAUUUACUAGCCAGGAGCAAAUGGGUAUGAGGGGCAGAUGAUGAUCGUUAAUCAUGCAGCAAAGUAAACGAAAACAAAAAAAAAACACCCACACAACGUGACGCGGUGUGACGUAUUUAGCAAUUUUAAAAAGAAACCUCGUGACUGUGUAAUGG